Molecule: ribosomal RNA, 495 nt
Filed under: uncultured Flavobacterium sp.
Lineage: Bacteria; Pseudomonadati; Bacteroidota; Flavobacteriia; Flavobacteriales; Flavobacteriaceae
Description: bacterial SSU rRNA
Rfam family: Bacterial small subunit ribosomal RNA
Source: RNAcentral
AGAGUUUGAUCAUGGCUCAGGAUGAACGCUAGCGGCAGGCUUAACACAUGCAAGUCGAGGGGUAUAAUUAGCUUGCUAAUUAGAGACCGGCGCACGGGUGCGUAACGCGUAUGCAAUCUACCUUUUACAGGGGGAUAGCCCAGAGAAAUUUGGAUUAAUACCCCAUAGUAUAUAUGAAUGGCAUCAUUUAUAUAUUAAAGUCACAACGGUAAAAGAUGAGCAUGCGUCCCAUUAGUUAGUUGGUAAGGUAACGGCUUACCAAGACGAUGAUGGGUAGGGGUCCUGAGAGGGAGAUCCCCCACACUGGUACUGAGACACGGACCAGACUCCUACGGGAGGCAGCAGUGAGGAAUAUUGGACAAUGGGCGCAAGCCUGAUCCAGCCAUGCCGCGUGCAGGAUGAAGCAUCUAUGGUGUGUAAACUGCUUUUAUACGGGAAGAAUCCCCGCCUCGUGAGGCGGACUGACGGUACCGUAAGAAUAAGACAGAUUCCCCC